GGAAACUUGCUCCCUUAUGUUAUCCGCCCACGGGUGAGUACCCGUGGGCUACCUGCCUGUAGACUGGCAUUACUCCGGGCAAACCCGGGCCUCAUACCGGUAUGCUUGUAUCGAACCCCAUGUUCAAUUAUUAAACGGGGCUUUUAACUACCACUUAUUUAUGGACCCGCGGCCCAUUUCUCUAUUUGGUGAGGCAACUGCUCCCCCACGCAACGAUGCGUUGCCAACCUGACAGGGUGACCGACCACACUGGGACUGACACCCGCCCCCACCCCUUCGGGAGGCAGCAGUAGGGAAUCUUCCCCAAUGGACUAAAGUCUGACGUAUCAACGCCGUCGUGACUGAUGAAGGUUUUCGGACCGACAAACUCUGUUGCUAGGGAAGAACAACUACCGUUCGAAUAGGGCGGUGCCUUGACGGGACAUAUCCAGAAUGCCACGGCUACCUACGUGCCCGCAACCGCGGUAAUACCUACGUGGCAAGCGUGGUCCGGACUUAUUGGCCGUAAAGCGCGCGCAGGCGGUUUCGUAAGUCUGAUGUGAAAGCCCCCGGCUCCACCGGGGAGGGCAUUGGAAACUGGGGAACCUGAAUGCUGACAAGGAAAGUGCAAUUCCACGUGUAGCGGUGAAAUGCGUAAAUAUGUGUAGGAACACCAGCGGUUGACUGCGACUCUCCGGUCUGUAACUGACUCUAAGGCUCGAAAGCUUCGGAUCUAACAGGAUUAGAUACCCUGCUAUCCCACGCCGUAAACUAUAACUGCUAAGUGUUAAAGGGUUUCCGCCCCUUUAGGGUUGCACUAUACGCAUUAUGCACUCCGCCUGGCAGAUUACGGUCCCAGGA
Molecule: ribosomal RNA, 840 nt
Filed under: Bacillus sp. (in: firmicutes)
Lineage: Bacteria; Bacillati; Bacillota; Bacilli; Caryophanales; Bacillaceae
Description: bacterial SSU rRNA
Rfam family: Bacterial small subunit ribosomal RNA
Source: RNAcentral